Molecule: ribosomal RNA, 429 nt
Filed under: Bacteroidota bacterium
Lineage: Bacteria; Pseudomonadati; Bacteroidota
Description: Bacteroidetes bacterium partial 16S ribosomal RNA
Rfam family: Bacterial small subunit ribosomal RNA
Source: RNAcentral
UAGGGAAUCUUCCGCAAUGGACGCAAGUCUGACGGAGCAACGCCGCGUGAGUGAAGAAGGAUUUCGGUUCGUAAAACUCUGUUGUUAGAGAAGAACAGCGCAUAGAGUAACUGUUAUGCGUGUGACGGUAUCUAACCAGAAAGCCACGGCUAACUACGUGCCAGCAGCCGCGGUAAUACGUAGGUGGCAAGCGUUGUCCGGAUUUAUUGGGCGUAAAGCGAGCGCAGGCGGGCAAUUAAGUCUGAUGUGAAAGCCCCCGGCUCAACCGGGGAGGGUCAUUGGAAACUGGUUGACUUGGGGGGAGAAGGGGGGAGUGGAAUUCCAUGGGUGGCGGUGAAAUGCGUAGAUAUAUGGAGGAAAACCAGUGGCGAAGGCGACUCUCUGGUCUGUAACUGACGCUGAGGCUGGAAAGCGUGGGUAGCAAACAGG